UGGAUCCAGACUUUGAUCCUGGCUCAGGAUGAACGCUAGCGGCAGGCUUAACACAUGCAAGUCGAGGGGCAGCGCGGGAUAGCAAUAUCCUGGCGGCGACCGGCGGAAGGGUGCGUAACGCGUGAGCGACAUGCCCGUUGCCCGGGGACAACCGGUGGAAACGCCGACUAAUCCCCGAUGGGAUACGAUGCUGCAUGGCAUUGUAUUGAAAGUUACGGCGGCGACGGAUUGGCUCGCGUCCGAUUAGCUGGUUGGCGGGGUGACGGCCCACCAAGGCUACGAUCGGUAGGGGUUCUGAGAGGAAGGCCCCCCACAAUGGGACUGAGACACGGCCCAUACUCCUACGGGAGGCAGCAGUGAGGAAUAUUGGUCAAUGGGCGGAAGCCUGAACCAGCCAUGCCGCGUGCGGGAAGGAGGCCCUAUGGGCUGUGAACCGCUUUUGCCUGGGGGCAAUAAGGGCGUCGCGCACGUCCGAUGAGAGUACCAGGCGAAUAAGCAUCGGCUAACUCCGUGCCAGCAGCCGCGGUAAUACGGGGGAUGCGAGCGUUAUCCGGAUUCAUUGGGUUUAAAGGGUGCGUAGGCUGUGCGUCAAGUCGGGGGUGAAAUUCCGGUGCUCAACACCGGGGCUGCCCUUGAUACUGUCGCGCUGGAGUGCGGAUGCCGCCGGAGGAAUGAGUGGUGUAGCGGUGAAAUGCUUAGAUAUCACUCAGAACACCGAUUGCGAAGGCAUCUGGCGAAUCCGUAACUGACGCUGAGGCACGAAAGCGUGGGGAUAGAACAGGAUUAGAUACCCUGGUAUUCCACGCCGUAAACGAUGAUGGCUAACCGCCGGCGACACACUGUCGGUGGCCAAGCGAAAGCGAUAAGCCAUCCACCUGGGGAGUACGUCGGCAACGAUGCAACUCAAAUGAAUUGACGGA
This 920-nucleotide ribosomal RNA is filed under the name uncultured organism. Its description in RNAcentral is "bacterial SSU rRNA". It matches the Rfam family "Bacterial small subunit ribosomal RNA", at positions 1 to 917 of the family's 1533-position model. The record is from RNAcentral.